UUCACCUUAUGUAUACAUUGAAGAUAAAAAUGUAUUCAAUUAUUGUUGAACAACCAUUUUGCAGAUUAGCAUAUAUGCCACCAGGAGGCGCGGAUUUCUAGUGAACACUCUUUACAAGGGAGAGCUGACGCAACCUAAGCUGAUUUAUUUAACUGGAAAAAAAAAGAAGUUAUGGAGGCAAUACGGUUCAGAGAAAACUCAACACUCGGCCUGGACGCUCGUACUCCACAUCGAGCAGCCUCUGCAGUGACAUUGAUGUCUGUAACUGUGCCAGGACAGGAGAGCUUCUUGAGCGCGCCCAGCAGCCAAACAAACAAACUGCAGCUUAACUAACCUUGAACUGCUGACAACAUGAAGCGUCAUUAGCAUAAUAAACAAACCCUCUGGAAACACAGCGGCGGGGUGCGUCCUGCCCGCUCUGGCUUCACAA
Molecule: long non-coding RNA, 430 nt
Organism: Poecilia reticulata (guppy)
Lineage: Eukaryota; Metazoa; Chordata; Actinopteri; Cyprinodontiformes; Poeciliidae
Source: RefSeq, a predicted model, not a curated record